AGCCUUGAUGUGGGGACUUGGGCCGGAGAGGAUUCAGAGUGGCCACGGUGAGCCUUGAUGUGGGGACUUGGAGCCGGAGGGGAUUCAGAGUGGCCGCGGUGAUCACCUUUGGGAUUUUAACUAAGCAUUGGUUUUCUUUAAAUUUCCUUUAAUUAUUAUUUAUUCUUGGGUUGUAAUAAGGCCAUUUUACCUGUUCUUUUAUUUCUUUUCGGGAUUAUUUUAUUUUUAAUAAUUUUAAAACUGGUUGAUAA
Long non-coding RNA from Gossypium arboreum, 251 nucleotides. RefSeq lists it as uncharacterized. The record is from RefSeq and is a predicted model, not a curated record. The transcript is spliced from 2 exons. NCBI's taxonomy places the organism in Eukaryota, Viridiplantae, Streptophyta, Magnoliopsida, Malvales, Malvaceae.